CCCUGGGCAGUUGCCUGUUUUGCUGUUAAUCCUGUUUUGUAUGUAGCCAAGCAGCUAUUUAAUCUGCUGCUAAACUCCAACACAAUGCAGAGACUACUUCCCACAGUGACGAGAGGGAGCGAAAGUCGGGGGGCAUGUAUUUAAAGAUGUAGGCAACAAGACCAAAACUACCUUCAAGACCAGAUACACAUGUCAUGUGGGAGCAAGGUUCCUCCAAUCCAAGUACGAAGCACCUCCCACUGUUGGCCUGCAGAGCUUAAGUCAAGAGGGAGAUUAAACCGAGGAGGAUGCGCUACUUGCUCCCGCACGUCAUCAGGAGCGGCUACAUGAGCUGUUUGUGGAUCUGGAUUGAAACGUCAAUGACGCUCACCUCACCCUCCUGGAAUACUGACCACCUGUUCCUCCCAACCGUCUCAAUUUACUCCAGCAUAUGCCGAGCUGCAGCUACCCGGUGGCAUGAGCAUAUAGAUCUCAUGCAUAACGCAUUAUUGCUUUGUGCCGUCCUGGGUGGAUUUGCGUCUGUGACCUGGAAAAAUGAUCUUGAGAGAAAGAUGAAGCCAGAGGGCGCUGUUCAUUGAGAUCACUGGGGCUCUCUUCAGGUGACUUCUGCUCAGAGGAAGCUUCAACAAAUUCCUCAAAAUGAAGAGAUCCAUCAGUGAACCAAGGGGCUCCUGUUGGAUUCAUGUUGCUUGAAAACCUUUUAAUAAGGUCACAGGACCUCACUCAUGCUCCUGUUGCUCUGAACUAUUCAUCCUGGUGGCUGCCUGAAGUAUAGGUCACAAACCAUGAAGUCACCAUGUUAUUGGAUGGGAUAUGGAGUUGGUGCUCGAGGGAAAAAAACGGAUCCUGUUCCAGCAGUUUGGAGCCAAUUGUGCAGAAGAUUUAAUGGAUUGGGAUGGUGUGUGUCGACGACAUCGGCGAUGGAAUGAAUUUUGAUAGAGGCCUCUUAUCUGACAGUGCAGCAGCCGGCUUGGCAAAUCCACCAGGAUCUUAACUGGAAACCUUGGAUUCAGUAUCUUCUCAGCCUCAGGUUGGAACCAGUUCUUCAACCGCCCCCGUCUGGAUGGUUGUAUGAAUUUUAGGAUACGCUGACCUAUUGUGAGCCCCGUCCCCUGAGUUAAGCUGCUAAUGUUGAGCUCUCCAUUCUUGCACAGCACACACAGCCUGCAGUUAACAGAAAACACCAGAGGCACGUUUGCCUUUUUAAAUGUUUAUCUUUCACACAGACAGAAGUGGAAAUAAACAGCCUUCUUAUUUCAAACCAGCGACCUUUAGCUGGCUGGAACGACAACAGUCACCAGCUAAUGAAGCUACGUUAAUCCUUCAUGUUCGGGAAAAUGGAAGGAUGCAUUUGUCCGCUGUGUUCGAUGGAGCCUUGGAAAUGGGACAGCCAAGUUUUUCCAGUGCAGCCUCUGAAGGAUUGUGGCCCUGGCAUCGGGACAUGAGUAAAAUGAGGAUCAUGUCAUGAACACAUAUUGUGUUAAAAGAGGCUGAUGAUGCGAGUGUGGGGCAGAAAUGUAUCUUCUCUAGUUGCUCAUCGAUUAAGAAUAUAUAUCCACACAGAUCUCAUAUUAAUGAUUUGUCCUGAGUAUUUGUUAUCAUAAAGCCUCAGGAUUUUGUGCUGUGCCUUUUGUUUGCUACUAGUCACACUAUGUUUAUAUCUGAAUCCAUGUUCUUUUCCCUUUAUAUUCUUGGUUUUGGAAAUGCUCAAAUAAAUAAAUCCCACCCUCUUUAUGCACUUGGUGUAUCACUUCACUCGAGUGUGCUUUAAUUUUGACAUCUGGAGAAAGCUUAAGGGACGACUGUGCCAAGUUACAGUUAAGAUAUGGUGGGACCAUCUGCCCAGUCAGGAGAAAUGUUGAGCAACAAGCAUACUGAACGUGCGGUUCAUGAUAUCAUCAUCAGGACAUAAUACAAAUGUAAUUGUCAUUUCAAUUCCCCUUUGUGGGAUGAAUAA
This is a non-coding RNA of Paralichthys olivaceus (Japanese flounder), 1957 nucleotides long. The record is from RefSeq and is a predicted model, not a curated record. NCBI's taxonomy places the organism in Eukaryota, Metazoa, Chordata, Actinopteri, Pleuronectiformes, Paralichthyidae.